RNAcentral lists this ribosomal RNA (253 nucleotides) under uncultured bacterium. RNAcentral describes it as "partial 16S ribosomal RNA". It matches the Rfam family "Bacterial small subunit ribosomal RNA", at positions 524 to 776 of the family's 1533-position model. The record is from RNAcentral.
UACGUAGGCAGCGAGCGUUGUUCGGAGUUACUGGGCGUAAAGAGUGCGUAGGCGGUUUUCUAAGUUUGGUGUGAAAUCUCCCGGCUUAACUGGGAGGGUGCGCCGAAAACUGGAAGGCUUGAGUAUGGGAGAGGUAAGCGGAAUUCCUGGUGUAGCGGUGAAAUGCGUAGAUAUCAGGAGGAACACCGGUGGCGAAGGCGGGUCUCUGGGCCGAUACUGACGCUGAGGAGCGAAAGCGUGGGGAGCAAACAGG